CCCAAAAAAUUCCUCCCCCAAAAAUAUUCGUCUCUCCCGAAAAAUUCCCUCCAAAAAAGGAAUAUUUUCCCCAAAAAAUUCCCUCCAAAAAUGGGGUUUUUUUCCCUUAAAAAAAAGGGGUUUUCCCCCCAAAAAUUGGUUUCUCCCAAAAAAUUCCCGCCCCCCCAAAAAAAGAGGAUUUUCCCCAAAAAAAUUCCCCCCAAAUUUGGGGGUUUUUUCACAAGAAAUCCCCCCCCAAAAAAUCGAUUUUGGACAAGAAUUUUCUCCCAAAAAGUGGGAUUUUUUUCCUCAAAAAAUCCAGUUUUUCCCAAAAAUUCCCAAAAAAAAAGGGGUUAGCCAGGUCAAGGUCAACCCAAUGCAUGGAAUUCCAUGGAAAAUUUGGAUUUUUUUGGGUAUUUUGGGGAUCAUCAAGUCAAUGGUCAAUCCUCAAUGGUCAAGGUCAACAAAAUUCAUGGAAUUCCAUGGAAAAAUUUGGGGUUUUUUUGGGAAUUUUGGGGGCCAUCAAGUCAAUGGCCAAGGUCAACGACCAACCCCAACCCAACCCAUGGAAUCCAUGGAAAAAUUUGGAGUUUUUUUGGGAAUUUUGGGGUUGAUGGAUCCAUGGCCAAGACCAAUGGUCAACAUCAACUCAACCCAUGGAAUUCCAUGGGAAAAUUUGGGGUUUUUUGGGAAUUUUUGGGGUCAACAAGUCAAUGGCCAAUGGUCAAUGGUCAAUGGCCAAUGGUCAAUGGUCAAGGCCAACCCAAUCCAUGGAAUCCAUGGAAAAUUUGGGGUUUUUCUGGGAAUUUUGGGAGCCAUCAAGUCAAUGGCUGAGGUCAACGACCAACCCCAACCCAACCCAUGGAAUCCAUGGAAGAGUUUGGGGUUUUUGGGGAUCCGUGGCCAAGGUCAAUGGUCAAGGUCAACCCAAUUCAUGGAAUUCCAUGAAAAAUUAGGGGAUUUUUUUGGGAAUUUUGGGGUUGAUGGAUCCAUGGCCAAGACCAAUGGUCAAGGUCAACCCAACCCAGGGGAUCAUGGAAGAGUUUGGGGUUUUUUUGGGAAUUUUGGGGUUGAUGGAUCCAUGGCCAAGGUCAACAACCAACCCCAACCCAACCCAUGGGAUCAUGGAAGAGUUUGGCAUCGCAUUCAUUCCCUCCCAUCCCCGUGCAGGCGCCGGCGCCGGCAGCGGCCCGAAGCGACCCACCCUCCGA
This 1190-nucleotide long non-coding RNA is filed under the name Serinus canaria (Common canary). Its description in RNAcentral is "lncRNA (ENSSCAG00000007361.1)". The record is from RNAcentral. Lineage: Eukaryota; Metazoa; Chordata; Aves; Passeriformes; Fringillidae.